GGUUGGAGGAAUUUGUGGGGUGGAUGGAGAGAGAGGGCGAAGAGAGAAAGAUGGAGGAGUUGAGAGAGGCUUUUAGGAUGUAUGAGAUGGAAGGGAGUGAGUGUAUUACUCCAAAGAGCUUGAAGAGGAUGCUGAGUAGAUUGGGGGAGUCGAGAAGUGUGGAAGACUGCAGUGUUAUGAUCCGACAGUUUGAUGUAAAUGGGGAUGGGGUUCUGAGCUUUGAUGAGUUCAAGCUCAUGAUGCUUUAAUAUUGUUGGAUCAUCUUUUAUGUGAAUGUUGUAUUCUUUUUAGAUUUAAAAACAGUGGAUUGUAUUCAAGAUUCUUUCUAUACAUAGGAUUAUAUAUGAUUUUUUCUUUGUUUUUGAGUCAAUAAUGUUUAUGUUUUGUGAAUGAAUGAUUGUUUGGGGGCAAUCUUUAAGAGGAUGUUUGGAACUGUGAACCAAAUUUUGUAAGUCAUAUGAAAGGUCAGCUGGCUUUGCAUCCAGUACAGAUGGAACUUCAUGUGAAUGUUAAAAGUAAAUUACUUACAAAGUAAAGAGGAGUCAAAUUCAAUUUCUAGGAUGGUCAUUUUUUUUGUAAUAAAUAUAUAACAAAAUAAUUAUAAUCUUAAUAUAGCAUGAGCAUUAAUUAAAAUCAAUUUAAAUUAGAAAGUUAUCCUUUCCAUGGUUAGAACAGCUAAAACUCUAGGGUUUGGAACUAUUUUUAAUAAUGGUUUUCUGUUCUCUAGAGUAAAAAAAUUAUAGAAAAUCAAUCAAAAAUUAUUUUCUGUUCUCUGUUCGAACAAAAAUCAAGAUGUUUUCAAAAACCAUCUUUUAGUUGUUUUUUAUUGUUACAUUUGCUUUUUUUUUUUUUUGAAGGUUUUUUUAAGAAAUAAUUAUAUAAACAUAUAAAAUGAUUAAAAAUAAAAUACUAAAUGUAAAAAUUAUUUUUAAAAUUAUUAAAACAAGUUAAAAAUAUUUUUCAAAUAUUUUUAAUUACUCUAUUUGAAUGAAUCAACUUAACUUAUUUGAAAGAAUGAAUAAGUAAAAAUAAAUAAAAAUGUUGAUAAAAUAAAAUUAUAAGAGAUGAAAUUAUAUGGAGAAUAUGAUAUCUAUUCUUCCAUUUAAAGUAAAUAUAAUAUAUAUACAAAAUUCAAAUGAUUUAUAGAACAUAUAAUCACUUCACAAAAUAAAGUUUUAAAAUAUGUAAAAAUAAAAAGACCUAGCAUUGAAAGAAAAUUAAUAAAAGUAUUAAUUUAAAAAAAUUAAGCUUAAAAUAAUAAUAAUAAUAAUAAUAAUAAUAAUAAUGAAUUAGGCUUUCAAAAUUAUUUAGAUAAUAAAAUUAAGCAAAAGAAUUCAUAACUAAAGACUAAGGUGAUAUUUUUUUAAAAUUUUUGUUGAAAAUAAUUUGUUUUUGGAUUUAAUAUAAUUUUUUUAAUUUAUUAUUUAUUUCUAUUUUUUUUAUUGAAAUGAAAAAGUUAAAAUAUUUAACUUUUUUUUAAUGCUAAAAGUGCAUUAUCAUAAUUAAAGUAAUUUUUUUUUUUUUUACUUUUUAAUGCUUAAUAAAAAUAAUUAAAAAAACAAACAAUUUAAUACAUAACACUAUUAAACACCUUUUAGUUUUAAAUUCUAUUUAGAAUAAAGUCAAAAAAUUGAACACUACCUAACACUUUACGUGACAUCCCACAUCAGAUAUGGGGGGAAAGUUCUUGGUAUGGACUCAUCGUAAUCCUGUAAACACGUUUUAAAGUUGUGAGGGUCUCUUUAGGUCCAAAGCGGAUAAUAUUUACACGGUUGGGAGCAGACCAUUACAAACGAUAUCAAAACCGAUCCCUGACCUCGGUGUGAGGUUUGUUUGAGCUUAUAAGAGUAUUUGUUUGUUUAACCCCAUAAUCCCGUAAGACACAACGAAAACGUUGUGUCUGCAUGGGGGUGACUUUUAAAGUCGUGAGGUAUCUACACCAUAUAAAAUAAAUAAGUAGAAAUAUUAUUAGUGUAAUUGAAUUUUAUAUUUUGAAAUUAUAUUGAUAUUUAAAAAAAAUAGUUAAAUAAAAAUUAACUUCCGAUAUUGUAUUUUAAAAAAAAUGCACAACUCUUCCUACCUUUUUUUUUUAGUACAUCCAUAAAUCAAGUUAAAAGUUAGCGGGUUGAUUAAAAGUUAGCAAGUUGAUGUUUGAAAAUUCUAUCCACGUGAUAUUUGAUGUUAAAAGAAAUGGAACUUUAAUAUGUUUAAUAAUUUAAAUUAAGUGAUUAAAUUAUUAAAUUAAGUUAUCAAAUAUUUUUAAAAUUUUCUAAUGUGUUAAUUAUGAUAAAGAAAUUAUUUUUCCAUCUUAUGUAAAAAAAAUAUUUGAUAAUAUAUUAAAAAUAAAUGUAAUUGGGAAAAAGUUUAGAAGUUGUGUCAUUCAUCCAUGCUGAGGUGUAGGUGGCAGUGUGUAGAAGUAGAUAGGUUGUUUGAACUUUGAAACUAGUUCUGACGUUAGCUUGUUGUUCUACAGAAGACCACUAUUUUUUAUUUUAUUUUUUAUGUUUUAAUUUUGUAAACAUGUUUCUCGUUUGUCGCACCAUUCCCACCACAUGUCCAAGUGGAUUGAAAAAGCAAAAGGCCAGAACAAAGUAUUCGUCUACGAAGCGGUUUUGACCGUUGUACAGUCAAUAAUCUAGAACAUACGCAUUACGUGACGUCUCCAGCACUCGCUUCGCUUCAUUCUCCAGAACUUCCUAGUAAAGUCUCGAUUCUUCACUCUCAAAAUCUCUAUACCCAACAGCUCCAUCUACUCCUUUUACGCGUCCCCACAACAGCUAUAUAUAUGCACACACAAAGUGUUCAUCCUCACAUCUUCACAUCUUACUACAAAUUAAGUGUUAUUUACAUUAAUUUUCAUUAACAUCCUUGUGUUGCCACAUCCAUGAUUAACUGCGAUGUGUAUGAACGCAUUUUCAAGCGCUUCGAUGAAGAUGGUGAUGGGAAACUCUCUCCUUCGGAGCUCCGAUGCUGCUUGGGGACGAUAGGGGAGGAGCAGCCGAUGGAGGAGGCGCAGGAGGUGGUGGAGUCGAUGGACUCGGACGGAGAUGGGUUGCUGGGAUUGGAGGAAUUUGUGGGGUGGAUGGAGAGAGAGGGUGAAGAGAGAAAGAUGGAGGAUUUGAGAGAGGCCUUUAGGAUGUAUGAGAUGGAAGGGAGUGGGUGUAUUACUGCAAAGAGCUUGAAAAGGAUGCUGAGUAGAUUGGGGGAGUCAAGAAGUGUGGAAGAGUGCAGUGUUAUGAUCGGACAAUUUGAUGUAAAUGGGGAUGGGGUUCUGAGCUUUGAUGAGUUCAAGCGCAUGAUGCUUUAAUCUUGUUUAACAUCUUUUAUCUGAAUGUUGUAUUUUUUUUUUUAGAUUUAAGAAGAGUGGUUUGUAUUCAAAAAUUAAGAUUCUCCUCAUUGCUUUCCUCGUGCACAUGGUGAAGAAAAUACUCCCUAUUCUAUAUUUGAUUUUGCAUAAAAAUUCCUUUUACGGCAAAGAGCAAGUGUGAUAAAAUUUAAGUUGAUUUUUAAAUUAAAUUGUUAGUUCAAAUCAUUUUCUCUCUGUGUUUGUAAAAUACUCAUAUUAAAAAUAUUAUAAAAAUACAUAAUAUUAUUACAUAAAAUAAUAAUGAAAUAUAUAUCAUGGAAAAAAUGAAGUAUUAAAUUAUUUUAUAUUUUUAAAAAGUUAUUUAGUCUAAGUUAUUGUUUUGCAUUAUUUUAACUUUAAAUUAUAUAGAAUUAAUUUACCAAUAAGCCUAGACCCCAUUUGAAAUAGAGUUUAACUUUUGCCCUAAUAAUAAAUAAGUAGAAGUAUAAGUAUUAUUAGUGUAAUUGAAUUUUAUAUUUUGGAAUGAUAUCUAUCCCCGCAAAUUUAGGCAGUCUUGUAAAAUAAGUAAAACUAUUGAAAAAAUAUGAGAAUAAAAAUUUUGCAUUAAAAUAAUUAUCGGGGUGCACAAUCCAUAGGACGAUAAUGAAUUGGAGUUCAAGAUCAAUUAAGGACCUUUUUUUUUUUUUUUUAAGUGGGAAGUUGUUUUUCACAAUUUUAUCAUUGAAGGAAGUUAUCUGUAUUUGUAAGUGAAGUUAGAGAAUUAAAUUUGGAAUACCGAAGAUUUGAUUAUUUAAUUCAAGAAGUUUGGUUUCUUAAAGUUAACAACUUGUCUAAUUUAUUUAGGAAAUUAGUCAAUAAGAGAAUAUUUAUUUUCAAUUUUCUUUUGAUUUUGUCUUUUUUUAUUGAGGAAAUUUGUUAAUAAAAAAUAUAUAUUUUUAAUUCUCUCCUAAACUUUAAUGAUUUGAUUUAAUUUUAUUUUGUAAUACUUCUAAAUUUCAUGAGGUGUCACAUUUGAAUAGUCAUAGAAGUGCCUUCACAAAUGUAAAUAUAAUUACAUUUGAUCUCAUUGUAACCAUAUCGAGAAGUCGAUACACGACUCAUAUUGUAAACUCUCCCUAGAAGUUGACUACACACUUAUUUGGUAAAUUACAAUAGUAAAAGAAAAAGAACACAAAAUAUGCACCUAGCCCAAAGUUGGAUGAGAUUUACUUUUGUGAAUAUUAACAUUAACACUAUGUUUGGUUCAUAGAACAUUUGAGAGAAAGAAAAUAGGUAAGAAUCGAAAUAAAAAAAAAAGAAAAAGUUAAGAAAAAUAAAAAAUAAAGUUGAAGUCGAUAAAUUAUUUUUAUUUACUACUAUAAACUCAUUUUAUUUAUUUUAACUCAUCAGUAUAAGGAUUAAAUAAUUUAAAUUUUAAAAAUGUAUAAAUUUUUAAUUAAUUUUAAUUAUAUUUAAUUUUCUUGAAAAUUGUUUCUAGAACAAUCAAAUAUAAGAAAAUCAUUUUUUUAAAUAUUUUUUUUAAUACUUUUCGUGCACCAAAUAUAACUUAAAAGUAUUUUUAUUUUUUAUAUAAAAUAUCACUAUCCUAUUAUUAAACAAAUCAAGGGUCUGUUUAAAAAUAAAUUAUUUUCCAUGGGUAUAAAUAUCUCAAAAAGAUAAUAAAAAAGCCACAUUUAAUUUACUAAUAUAAAAAAGUCCACACCUGAUAAAUCUUUUCCACCUCAUGUCUAGGCAGAUAGAAGGGAGAAAGAGACCAAAAAGACAAACUAGCUUUCUGUGGCGGUUGAGUGUUUUGACCGUUGUAGAUGUAAUUCUAUCUCAAUUUAAUCCAGGCAGCUUCUCACUUUCUUCCCCCAAAAAAUCCAUCAAUUACGCACUCCCUGACACCGUGAUCCAUGCUUUCUUCUUCUCAUCUUCAACUUCAAAACUUCCAAGUUUCCAAUCCUUUUAUGCGUCUCAUAAAGCUAUAUAUAGACUCACAAAUUGUUAUUCACAACACUCCAAGCAUCCAAGUUCUUGCGGUAAGCAGCCAUGAUUAACUGCAGCAUAUAUGAACGCAUAUUCAAGCGCUUUGAUGAAGAUGGUGAUGGGAAACUCUCUCCUUCGGAGCUUCGAAGUUGCGUGGGGACGAUAGGGGAGGAGCUGCUGAUGGAGGAGGCGCAGGAGGUGGUGGAGUCGAUGGACUCAGACGGGGAUGGGUUGGUGGGUUUGGAGGAAUUUGUGGGGUGCAUGGAGAGAGAGGGCGAAAAGAGAAAGAUGGAGGAGUUGAGAGAGGCUUUUAGGAUGUAUGAGAUGGAAGGGAGUGGGUGUAUUACUCCAAAGAGCUUGAAGAGGAUGCUGAGUAGAUUGGGGGAGUCGAGAAGCGUGGAGGAGUGCAGUGUUAUGAUCAGGCAGUUUGAUGUUAAUGGCGAUGGGGUUAUGAGCUUUUAUGAGUUCAAGCUCAUGAUGCUUUAAUAUUGUUUGAUACCUUCCACAUGAAUUUUAUAUUCUUUUUAGAUUUAUAAAGAGUGAUUUGUAUUCAAGAUUCUUUCUACAUAAGGGUCUCCAACGGGCCGGGCCGGGCCGUCCGGCUCGGAGGAGUAAGACCCAUGGCCCAGCUCGAGGCGGGCCACUGAGUCAACGGGCCAGGCCGGGCCGGGCCCUUGGUAUAUCUAAGGCCCGUGGCCCAGCCUGUGGGCCCUCAAGCUGGGCGGGCCGACUGGGGAAAAAAUUAAAAUAGUUUUUAGUUUUGAAGGGAAGAGGUUCGAAAUCCCCUUCCCUUAUGGAUCCAUAAGGGAGCUAGCCACCAACUGAGCUAGUCCUCUUUUGUGUAACUAUUUUGCAUUAGUUAUAUAUAUAUAUAUUAGAAAUGUUGUAUGAUUUUUGAAAAAAUAUAAAAGUGAGUUGGCUGUUCAACGGUCACAUGACUCACAUGACCGUUGAACAUGUCUGCCACUCAAUUCAAUAUUAUGACCGUUGAACGAUCUUGAUUAAAAAAAAAAGAAAUAAUAAAUCCUAAUAUUUAAAUCUCUAUAAAUAUUAAAUACCCUCAAUUUUUUUCUAUUCUCUCAACUCUUAAGCUCUCUCCCAUUCCACAAUAUUUCCGAUUAUUGCAUUUUAUCUCAAAUUAUUCAAUAUUAUUGAUGGUGAAAAACAAGCAUUGGUGGUUCAAAAAGUUCAAAUUUGAAGGAAUUUCUGCUUCGGUUCUCUAAUUUAGUAACAUACUUCACCUUUACUUUUAUUUAUUUGUUACAUUUUAAUUUUACAUUUAUUAUUUUUAGCAUAAUAUUUUAUCAAUAAUUAUAAUUAUGGCAAGUGGUUCUUGUUCUUCAUCUAAUACAUGUGAUAGCAAAAAAUUUACAUCAAAUAUAUGGAAUUUUUUUGAUAGAAUAGAAAUAAAUUUAGAAAAUAAUAAAAAAGAAAUAAAAGCAAAAUGUAAAAUUUGUAACAAACUUCUUAGUGGUGGCUCAAAUGCAGGUACAAGUCAUUUAAAAAGGCAUCAUGAAAAUUGUAAAACUAAAAAUAAUGUAGAUAUUAGAAAUUAUAUGCAAUUAGGUAAAGAUGAAAGUGGAAAUUUAAAAACAUUUUCUUAUGAUGAAUCUUAUUGUUGUGAAGAAAUGAUUGGUUAUAUAAUAAGAGCAGAACAACCUUUCAAUUUCAUGGAAACUCAUGAUUUUACGGGAACAAUGCAACGAGCUGUUAAUCCUCAGUUUUAAGGUUGCUCUGGAAAUACAGUUAAAAGAAUUCUUAUAAAAAAUUUUGAAACACAAAAAGAAAAUUAAAAAUUUUUUUUUGCAAAUUUUGAAGAAAGAAUUUGUUUAACAUCUGAUAUUUGGACAUCUUUAACUCAUAGUGGUUUUUUUAUAUAUAACUGCUCAUUAUAUUGAUAAUGAAUGAAAAUUAAAUAAAAGAAUUAUUUCAUUUAAAAUAAUAAAUGCUCCAUAUAAUGGUAAAAAUAUAGCAUCUUUAAUAAAUGAUGAAAUUAUAGAUUUUGGCAUUCGUGAUAAAAUAUUUACAAUAACAUUAGAUAAUGCUUCUAAUAAUGAUGCAGCAGUAUCUAGAUUAAAACGAUAUUGGCAAAUAAAAGAAGAUCAAUGUAAAAUAUUUCAUGUGCGUUGUUGUGCACAUAUUUUAAAUUUCAUUGUAAAAGAUGGAUUAAAACACGUUGAUGAUACAUUAUAAAAAAUUAGAGGCAUUGCUGCGGGUCUUAAUAGUUCUCAAGCAAAACAUGAAUUAUUUUUUUAUUGUUGCAAAAUGUUAAAUAUGAAAAAAAGAAAUAUAAAUUUGGAUAUGCCCACUAGAUGGAAUUCCACUUAUAAACUUUUACAAACUAUUACAAAAUAUAGAAAAGUAGUAGAACUAUAUGAAAUACAAUUAAUUAACAAUGAUUGUGAAACAAAUAUUGAUGUAUUAAAUGAUUAUUAUUGGCAUAUUGCAGAUCUUUUAAGAGAUCUUUUUGAAGUAUUUGAUACUUCAACAAAAAAUUUUUGUGGUGUAUAUUAUCCAUCUUCAAACCGAGUUGUCAUGCAAAUAACUAAUAUUUUUAUUGUACUUCAAAAAUAUUUAAAUUUGGAUAUAUUUAAUGAUGCAAUAUUUGCAAUGAUAGAAAAAUUUAGAAAAUAUUGGGGAGAAAUACCUUUAAUUUUUUAUCUUGGUUUUGUGGACCCUAGAUUGAAAUUUGAAACUUUGGAUGAAUGGUUAACAAUUAUUUAUUUUAAUGACCAAAUAAAAAUUGAAGAAAUUAAAAAUGAAAUAAAUUCAUUAUUAUAUAAUUUAUAUAACUAUUAUAAAGAAAAAUAUGGUGAUGAUAUUAGUUCUAUUAAAUUACCACCUAUAUCUACAAGUUCUUCAUCUUUUUAUAAAGGAGCUCUAGAAAUGUUAAAAAGUUGAAAGAAGAUAACAAAUAGUUCUCCAAACAACACAACUGAUUUAGAUAGAUAUCUUAAUAUUGAUUUAAUUUCAUUUGAAGAUGAUGAAGAUUUUGAUAUUUUAAUAUGGUGGAAAUCACAACAACACAAAUAUCCUGUGCUUUCUAUCAUUGCUCGUGAUGUACUAACAGUUCUUGUGAGUACAGUUGCAUCAGAAGCUGCUUUUAGUGUAGGUGGAAGAGUAGUUAGUGAUAAACGAUGCAACUUAGCGCCGGAUUCUAUUGAAGCAAAUAUAUGUGUGAAAGACUGGACAAUAGUAGAUAAAAGGAUAUUUGAUUCUAUUCAAGAAGAAAAUAUGCUUGUCGAUAUGGAAAAACUAAAAUCAUCAAGAUCUUCAUGGAUUUGCGAUAGUUCGCCAACACCGCCAAGAGAUAAUGAUUAAAAUAUUUUACUAAAUGUAUGUCAUAUUUUUAUUUUUAUUUUUGUAGUUGAAAAGUACAAAUGAUUGACAAAUAAGUAGGUGCCAACCUAGUUGGGAUGUAUUUAUUUUGUAGUGAUGUAAACUUUUCCCACAUUUUCAAAUGUAACGUAUACAUUCAAUGAAUAAAAUAGUUAGCAAUGAAUAUUUUUAUUAAUGUAGUAUUUUCUAUUUCUUGAAUAUUUAUAUAUAUAUAUAUAUUUAAGUGGCGGGCCUACGGGCGGGCCAGCCCACCGGGCCUAAAUUGGAGCCCAUGGCUCGGUCCAUCCAAAAAUGGGCUCGAGCCGGGCCGGGCCUAGGCCAGGCCGCGGGCUUUUUAGAGACCCUUAUUUCCACAUAUACAGAGGAAUAUGAUUUUUUUUUCUUUCCACUCUAUAACAUUUAUAUAUAUAUAUAUAUAUAUAUAUAUGUUCUGUACAUGAUUGUUUGGGCCAAUUAAACUCUCAAGGGUGUGUGGAACCCUGCACUAGUCUUGUUAUAUACGGUAACUCAACUGACUUUAAAUGGAAGUUGGUGCUUUAACACAUAGCGUUAAUAUGUUUAGUAACUUAAAUUAAUUUAUUAAACAAUUCUAUAUCUUUUUAAUAUGCCAACCAAGGGAAUUAUAGCAUUUUUCUCAUUCAUGCUAAGGAAUUAGUGAAAGUAUGGAUUGUGAAGUUAACAUAUAACAACUCGCGCUUAACUGUAUAGAUAUUAUCCUCUCUAAGUCCUAAAGGGCCCUUACAGCUUUAAAAUGUAUCUACAUGAUUUAGAGAGAUCUAUACUUAUAUAGUAUCAUAAAUUUUCUCUCAUAUUCAAUAUGGGGUAUCAUAAACACCCUCUAUGCAAAUAUAACGUUCUCGUUGUAUUCCAUGAUAUUAUGGGGUAAAACAGAUAAACAAUCCUUAUAGGGCCAAAUAUACCCCCACACCAAGAUCGAUGAUUAGUUCUAAUAUCACUUAUAACGACAUGUAUCUAACCAUGUAGAUAUUUUUCGCUCUAGAAAUUGGAUAUGAGAGAAAGUUUAUGACGUUAUAUAUGUAGAGGUUCCUCUUAAUUCUAUAAACGCAUUUUAAAAUUGUGAAGACCCCUUUGGAUUCAGAGUUGAUAAUAUCUACACAGUUGGAUGAGGUUCGUUAUCUAACAUCUUAUUUUGUUAAUUAAUUUCCAACUAAUUGUCACUAUGUUCAAUGAAUCCCUUCAUCUAUAAAGAAAAGAAAAGGGGGUUGAGUUGGGAGCCUACAAUUUCUCUUAUUGUGGAUGUUUUCUGAAUGCAUUAUUGAGUAGUCAUAGAAGUGCCUUCUUAACUGUCAAUAAAAUUACAUUUGAUCUCAUUGUAACCAUAUCGAGAAGUCGAUACAUGACUCAUAUUGUAAACUCUCUCUAGAAGUUGACUACAAACUUAUUUGGUAAAUUACAAUAGUAAAAGAAAAAGAACACAAAAUAUGCACCUAGCCAAAGUUGGAUGAGAUUUACUUUUGUGAAUAUUAACAUUAAGGCUAUGUUUGGUUCGUAGAAAAUUUGAGAGAAAGAAAAUAGAUAAGAAAAUAAAUAAGAAAAAAAAAGUGAAGAAAAAUAAAAAAAAUAGAGUUGAAAUUGAUAAAUUAUAUUUAUUUACUACUUUAAAUUCAUUUUAUUUAUUUUAACUCAUCAUUAUAAAGAUUAAAAAAUUUAAAAUUUAAAAAUAUAUAAGUUCUUAAUUAAUUUUAAUUAUAUUUAAUUUUCUUGAAAAUUCUUUCUAGAACAAUCAAAUAUAAGAAAAUUAUUUUUCUUGAUAUUUUUUUCUUUUCUUAAUACUUUUCGUGCACCAAAUAUAACUUAAAAGUAUUUUUAUUUUUUAUAUAAAAUAUCACAUAUAAUUUUAUAAAAUCUAUCCUAUUAUUAAACAAAUCAAGGGUCUGUUUAAAAAUAAAUAAAUAAAUAAUUUUCCAUGGGUGUAAAUAUCUCAAAAAGAUAAUAAAAAAGCCACAUUUAAUUUACUAAUAUAAAAAAGUCCACACCUGAUAAAUCUUUUCCACCUCAUGUCUAGGCAGAUAGAAGGGAGAAAGAGACCAAAAAGACCAACUAGCUUUCUGUGGCGGUUGAGUGUUUUGACCGUUGUAGAUGUAAUUCUAUCUCAAUUUAAUCCAGGCAGCUUCUCACUUUCUUCCCCCAAAAAAUCCAUCAAUUACGUACGCACUCCCUGACACCGUGAUCAAUGCUUUCUUCUUCUCAUCUUCAACUUCAAAACUUCCAAGUUCCAAUCCUUUUACGCGUCUCAUAAAGCUAUAUAUGGACUCACAAAUUGUUAUUCACAACACUCCAAGAAUCCAAGUUCUUGCGGUAAGCAGCCAUGAUUAACUGCAGCAUAUAUGAACGCAUAUUCAAGCGCUUUGAUGAAGAUGGUGAUGGGAAACUCUCUCCUUCGGAGCUUCGACGUUGCGUGGGGACGAUAGGGGAGGAGCUACUGAUGGAGGAGGCGCAGGAGGUGGUGGAGUCGAUGGACUCAGACGGGGAUGGGUUGGUGGGGUUGGAGGAAUUUGUGGGGUGGAUGAAGAGAGAGGGCGAAGAGAGAAAGAUGGAGGAGUUGAGAGAGGCUUUUAGGAUGUAUGAGAUGGAAGGGAGUGGGUGUAUUACUCCAAAGAGCUUGAAGAGGAUGCUGAGUAGAUUGGGGGAGUCGAGAAGCGUGGAGGAGUGCAGUGUUAUGAUCAGGCAGUUUGAUGUUAAUGGCGAUGGGGUUCUGAGCUUUGAUGAGUUCAAGCUCAUGAUGUUUUGAUAUUGUAAUGAUUAUAUAUAUGAUUUUUAUUUCCUUUUCCGGUGAAUAACAUUUAUGCCUUAAUUAAAACACUUCAUCGUCUUAUCUAUUAUUAUUAUUGAAACUAAAUAAAAACCCUAUUAGUUACUAUCAAUGACAAAAUAAAAUUUAAAAUAUUAAAAAUACAAUUAAAACUAAAAAAAAUCAAUAAUAAAUAAUGCCAAAACAAAAUAUUGGUUUUCUACCAAAAAAUUAAAAAAAAAAAUAGUUUUCUAUUAAAAGUUUGUCACUUUAUCAAUGUCUAUAAUUUCUUAUAAAAAAAAUAUUUUGAUGGAUCCUAAAUAUUUUCAUAGUGAUCCUUUUCAAUCUAACUCUAGGUCAUUAGUAUAUAUGCAUUGCUUCCAUAAUAAUACCGAAUUUAUUUUUAUUUAAUUAAAUCUUUUUUUCUUAAAUGCGAGAUCAUUAUAACAAAAUCCUUUUAAAUUUAAUUACUCUAUUUGAAUAAAUCGAUUUUACUUAUUUGAAAGAAUGAAAAAUAUGAUAUUUGAUGUUUGAAAAUUCCAUCUUUGUACCUUUAAAAUCUAAUUUUAAAAAGGAUGGAACUUUAAUAUGCUUAAUAACAUAAAUUAAUUUAUCAAAUGCUUAUAAAAUUUUCUAAUAUUUUAAGUAUGAUAAACAAUUUAUUUUUCAAUCUUAUGUAAAAAAUAUUUGCUAAUGUAUUAAAAAUAAAUGUAAUUGGGAAAAAGCUUGUAAGUUGUGUCAUUCAUCCAUGCUGAGGAGUCAGUAGCAGUGUGAAGAAGUUGAUAGGUUGUCUGAAAAACCAGUUGAGUCUUUUGACGUUAGCUUGUUGUUCUACAGAAGAACACUAUUUUUUUUAUUUUUUUUUAUUUUAUUUUUUAUGUUUUAAUUUUGUAAACAUGUUUCUCGUUUGUCGCGUCAUAUCCACCUCAUGUCCGGGUGGAUUGAAAAAGCAAAAGGCUAGAAGAAAAGUAUUCUAUUCUUAGUAAAGUCAAUACGCACUCCGUGACGUCCCCUCCAGAACUUCCUAGUAAAGUUCGAUUCUUCACUCUCAAAAUCUCCAUACCCAACAGCUCUAUCUACUCCUUUUACGCGUCCCCACAACAGCUAUAUAUAUGCACACACAAGGUGUUCAUCCUCACAUCUUCACAUCUUACUACAAAUUAAGUUUUAUUCACAUUAAUUUUCAUUAACAUCCUUGUGUUGCGACAGCCAUGAUUAACUGCAAUGUGUAUGAACGCAUUUUCAAGCGCUUCGAUGAGGAUGGUGAUGGGAAACUCUCUCCUUCGGAGCUCCGACGCUGCUUGGGGACGAUAGGGGAGGAGUUGCUGAUGGAGGAGGCGCAGGAGGUGGUGGAGUCGAUGGACUCGGACGGAGAUGGGUUGCCGGGAUAGGAGGAAUUUGUGGGGUGGAUGGAGAGAGAGGGUGAAGACAGAAAGAUGAAGGAGUUGAGAGAGGCCUUUAGAAUGUAUGAGAUGGAAGGGAGUGGGUGUAUUACUGCAAAGAGCUUGAAGAGGAUGCUGAGUAGAUUGGGGGAGUCAAGAAGUGUGGAAGAGUGCAGUGUUACGAUCGGACAGUUUGAUGUAAAUGGGGAUGGGGUUCUGAGCUUUGAUGAGUUCAAGCUCAUGUUGCUUUAAUCUUGUUUGAUACCUUCCAUGUGAAUUUUGUAUUAUUUUUAGGUUUAUAAGAGUG
This 13055-nucleotide long non-coding RNA is filed under the name Vitis vinifera (wine grape). RNAcentral describes it as "long non-coding RNA (VVIN_LNC000268)". Lineage: Eukaryota; Viridiplantae; Streptophyta; Magnoliopsida; Vitales; Vitaceae. The record is from RNAcentral.